This 267-nucleotide long non-coding RNA is filed under the name Olea europaea (common olive). Its description in RNAcentral is "long non-coding RNA (OEUR_LNC012020)". Lineage: Eukaryota; Viridiplantae; Streptophyta; Magnoliopsida; Lamiales; Oleaceae. The record is from RNAcentral.
AUGAUUUUCUUCCGGUAUCCUUUCCAAGCCCCUGGGAGUUUAGCAAUUAUGGCUCCCACUUGAAAGGUCUCCAGGAUUUCAAUCUUUACCACUUUUAGUUUGUUGACAAUGACUUGCAAUUCGUGUACUUUGGGAAGAAGCGGGAUAUUAUCAAGGAAUUUUAAAGUCGAAGUAUUUAGAAAUUAGAAACUUCUUGGUACCUUCCUCUUCCAUUUUGUACUUAUUCUCCAAUGCUUCCCAGAUUUCCUUUGCAGAAGUUGUGUUUGU